GAGUCGUUGCCCGAGUGGUUCAUGGGGACGGAUUGUAAAUCCGUUGUUUAAAACGACGCUGGUUCGAAUCCAGCACGACUCA
RNAcentral lists this transfer RNA (82 nucleotides) under Lepocinclis steinii. RNAcentral's name for it is "tRNA-Tyr". It matches the Rfam family "tRNA". From Rfam's summary of the family: Transfer RNA (tRNA) molecules are approximately 80 nucleotides in length. The record is from RNAcentral. Lineage: Eukaryota; Euglenozoa; Euglenophyceae; Euglenales; Phacaceae.